This 490-nucleotide ribosomal RNA is filed under the name uncultured bacterium. RNAcentral describes it as "partial 16S ribosomal RNA". It matches the Rfam family "Bacterial small subunit ribosomal RNA", at positions 29 to 505 of the family's 1533-position model. The record is from RNAcentral.
AGUGAACGCUGGCGGUAGGCCUAACACAUGCAAGUCGAACGGCAGCACAGUAAGAGCUUGCUCUUACGGGUGGCGAGUGGGGGACGGGUGAGGAAUACAUCGGAAUCUAAUUUUUCGUGGGGGAUAACGUAGGGAAACUUACGCUAAUACCGCAUAGGACCUACGGGUGAAAGCAGGGGAUCUUCGGACCUUGCGCGAUUGAAUGAGCCGAUGUCGGAUUAGCUAGUUGGCGGGGUAAAGGCCCACCAAGGCGACGAUCCGUAGCUGGUCUGAGAGGAUGAGCGACCACACUAGAACUGAGACACGUUCCAAACUCCUACGACGCGCACCAGUGGGGACUAUGGGACAAGGGGCGCAAGCCUGAUCCAGCCAUACCGCGUGGGUGAAGAACUCCUUCGGGUUGUAAAGCCCUUUUGUUGGGAAAGACAAACAGCAGGUUAAUACCCCGCUGUUCUGACGGUACCCAAAGAAUAAGCACCGGCUAACUUCG